Molecule: long non-coding RNA, 1487 nt
Organism: Lagenorhynchus albirostris (white-beaked dolphin)
Lineage: Eukaryota; Metazoa; Chordata; Mammalia; Artiodactyla; Delphinidae
Exons: 4
Source: RefSeq, a predicted model, not a curated record
AAACAGCGAUCACAUCCUCCCCACGACCUCCUUCAAAAGCCGGAGCAAUAGGUUCUUUGAAGUGAGACAAAAUUACUAAGGGAGCUAAAGAGCAGAAACCAUGCUUAAUAAGAAUGAAACUGAAUUGGGAGGAAAAUUAGCUAUAACGUACAUUUAGAAAGGGAAGAAACGUCAGUGUUGAACCUGAAAACGAUCAUUUUCAAAUUACGCCUGGGGCCACGCAAGAGGGGACUGCAAAAUGAAAUCUUGGCUUCUCACUUUGAAAAUGCACUGGAGUUUGACAUGAACGUACACAUUUGACUUUUGCAUUCUGCCGGUUAGUUACACCACAGGACAGCCCGGGUCAGGGACAUCUGUGUCUGAAAGCACUGGAAACCUUCACCAGGUCUCUCGGAGUCUUUCUGGUCCAACAUCUCACAGCGUUGCUAUAACUUCAAUGAACUAUAUACCAGGACUCUUUUCCGUGGAGGCAAGGUACACUCCUGUCUGAAGAACAACUCUUCCGCAGAGGGUCCUGAGCAGAAAUCACAAGGUGAAGUCUGAUGGGACAAUGGAGCAUGCCAGCGAGGAGAGACGAUACACAUAUUAUGUGUAUCAGCCAUUCCUUGACACCCCAUUCAUAUUCCUGAUGCCCCAUGAGCACAGAGUUCUAGGGGACCCAUGAUGCAUUGGGUGUUCAAUGAGGCUCCAGUCAAGUACAUGACUUCCCUGGUGGCGCAGUGGUUGAGAGUCCGCCUGCCGAUCGAUGCAGGGGACACGGGUUCGUGCCCCAGUCCGGGAAGAUCCCACAUGCCACGGAGCAGCUGGGCCUGUGAGCCAUGGCCGCUGAGCCUGUGCGUCUGGAGCCUAUGCUCCGCAAGGGGAGAGGCCACAAUGGUGAGAGGCCCGCGUACCGCAAAAAAAAAAAAAAAAGUUUAUUUUCAUGGGAUACCUCAAUAAUCAGAAUAGGAAAGAACUGCAAUAUUAGCCUUUUAUGAAUCACUGAAUAUUCCUUAAUUAUUGGUUGAAUUAGUAUUGUACCAGUGGUAUCCCAAAGUGAUUUGGUAGAAUUCUGUGGCUUGGAAUUACUGAUCAUAUAGCAGCCAGUGCUGAGCUGGCUCUGCUAUAGGUUUAAAGUUCUUGAGUAUUUUGCAUGCAUCCAAGAGGUAGAUUAGGGCUGGAAGAGUCUAUGGCGGGCUGCUCAUUUAGGGACUAACUAGUCCUAGAAAUCUGGAGAAAUAAUCAAAGGAAGCUAUGGUGCCCAAACUUCCCAGAAUUUAUAAAGUGCUUUGGUAUAUAUUAAUAUAAUUAAUAUAUAGUCCUCAGGCUAAUUGGAAUGAAGAUGAACAGUAACUGAGAAGCUUGCCUUUCUUUGGAAGUACCGAAGGUUUCCAAGGAGUUUUUGAGUUUUCCCAGUAACCUCCCUGGGCCACAUCAUCUAUCUCGUAGGAGAUAGGGGCUAUAAACCUUCAAGAAUAUUUCACAACAAAAACAGCCUCUUGGGAAAU